Chelonia mydas (Green sea turtle) is the source of this 978-nucleotide long non-coding RNA. RefSeq lists it as uncharacterized. The record is from RefSeq and is a predicted model, not a curated record. The transcript has 7 exons. Lineage: Eukaryota; Metazoa; Chordata; Testudines; Cheloniidae.
CAUGGUCAGCUGCACGUACUCUCCACAGCACCGAUCUGCUGUUCCCUCCUAAAGCUUUUGCAAAGCCAAGCGAUGGUAAAAAUAUUCUGUGAACUGAAACAGAGCAACCAUUAUUAAUCUGUGUAGGAAGAUACAAGAGUGAGCAAAUGUCAUGGCUGCAUGCAUUCCUUCCAACUAAAAGAAAGUCCAACAGGAUCCAUCCCUCAACUGAUGAUCAAUCCAUGAGAGACCCAUCCGACCCUAACACUAUCUAGGAGAGAGGAUAGACUCUAACUCUGAAGCAAGCCAUGGAAAAGAACGAAUUACAGCUGGCAAGAAAUGGUAACUGAUUUGGUGGAUAGAGGGAGUGUGGUGGACAUAAUAUAUAUACCUGGACUUCAGCAAGGCUUUUGACACAGUCCCACAUGAUAUUCUGAUAAGUAAUCUGGAGAAGCUUGACAGAACCACCGUUAAGUAGACAUACGAUUGGUUAAACAACUGCAAACAAAGGUAAGACAGUCACUGCCCCAAAAGGCUUACCAUCUAAGAAGAUAAAACCAACAGAGGGGAGAGGAAACAGUGGUACAGAGAGACAAAGUGACUUGCCCAAAGGUCAUACAACAGGUCAGAGGCAGAACAAGGAAGACAAUCAAGGGCAAUAUCCUGUCUCCACUGACUUCACUGGAGCAAGAAUUUCACCUCAAGUCGGCCUUAAUCCAGUUCCUGACUCCAGGAUGGAGCACCAUAUGGAUCAUCUGCACUGAAAGAGGAGAUGUGGUGAUGAAUGAAUUCCAUUUUUCUAGUGAUGUUCUCAUGCAAGCAUGAUGAAUAAGAGCCUCAUAAACAAUUGUUGAGAGGAAGACAGAUCACCAGUCAAGAUUUCCAGUGUCCUUUGAAAACCCAGCAGGCUUCUAGGUCAGUUUGACUUGAUUUCUUGAGUUUAAGCUUUUUUAAAGCUAAUUUAUUAUUCACAAUGGACAGUUUUGAAGUCAGUGUUUU